This 377-nucleotide ribosomal RNA is filed under the name uncultured eukaryote. Its description in RNAcentral is "partial 18S ribosomal RNA". It matches the Rfam family "Eukaryotic small subunit ribosomal RNA", at positions 592 to 976 of the family's 1831-position model. The record is from RNAcentral.
CAGUAGCGUAUAUUAAUGUUGUUGCAAUUAAAAAGCUCGUAGUUGAAUUUCUGCCGUAAAUUGCUGUCAGCUGCUAAUUGGUAUGCAGGCAUUCAAUUGCGUCAUCCAUCUACCAGGCCUUCAGGCAUUAAUUUGUCUAGGGAACCACCUGUGUAGAUCUUUUACUGUGAAAAAAUUGGAGUGUUUAAAACAGUUUUCGACAUUUGAACAUAUUAGCAUGGGAUAAUGACAUAAGGCUUGAUUGUGUUGUUGGUCUCAAUUAAAGCAAUGAUUGAUAGGGAUAGUUGGGGGUGCUCGUACUAUGUGGCUAGAGGUGAAAUUCGUACCCACAUAUGACGAACUUAUGCGAAAGCAUUCACCAAGGAUAUCUCCUUUAA